Molecule: long non-coding RNA, 160 nt
Organism: Octopus sinensis (East Asian common octopus)
Lineage: Eukaryota; Metazoa; Mollusca; Cephalopoda; Octopoda; Octopodidae
Exons: 3
Source: RefSeq, a predicted model, not a curated record
AAAAAAACAAAUGACGAAGACAAGUGGUGUAGACAACAAACAGAUGUAAUAGUAUAACGCUCGGGAAGUGAACAAGUCUUUAACGUUUCGAGCCUAUGCUCUUCCACAGAAAGGAACACAGAGAACGAAACAAGGAGAGGAAGUAAAAAAAGUGUAGUGG